Taeniopygia guttata (zebra finch) is the source of this 7451-nucleotide long non-coding RNA. NCBI's taxonomy places the organism in Eukaryota, Metazoa, Chordata, Aves, Passeriformes, Estrildidae. The record is from Ensembl.
UUUAAACUCCUUAGAUUAAGUUUUCAAUAUGUUCUGCAGGUUUCAACACUGUGUUCAAGUAACUUCUUUCCUCUGUGACUUAAAUACUAGUCAUUUAAUAAUUACAUAUUCUACACAGCUCAAAAGUGGGGAAAAGGGAAAACAGGAGAAUAUGAUUUAUAGUUCCAGUGUCCAUAUACUUUAAGAACCUAUCUAAAUCCUCAACCUAGUACUUCGACUGUAUUUCUAUAAAAAGUGUAAGAUCUAUAUAAUGUUCUCUGUUUGUUUCCUGGGGAACAGUUGCUGUCUGUGGCUUUGUCUUCCUAUCAAGUACCUGAAUAUAGUCAAGUUAAUGAAAAUGUAGAUGCUAUUUUCAAAGAAAACACACCAAAAAAGGGGAUGGAAUGGGGCAUUAUAGCAGUCUUGGCUAUAUAUAUGGCCAUAUAUAGCAGUUUUACUAAAUAUUUUUUUUAUUGCAUAAUGCAACCAUCUUCUCAACUCAUACGUUUAUAAAAUACCUUUGUGGUCUCCUAUAAUACACAGAAAAUUGAACAAAGCUGCACAACACAAGCAAUCUAUAGCAAAUCUGACCUGUUGGGAGCUAUUUCUUGUAGAGACCAAACCCAAGCACACUCGAAUUUGAAAAUGAGGGUGCAACUUUACCAUGUACUGUAACACAGUCUAAGACAACUGGUAGCCUGAAGCACAAAAGUAUUCAGGAGCCAGUGGAUGCUGCCAUUAGUGCAACUCCAGAACAACAGAUGGUAUCACUGCAUCAUUGGCGUAUUCACACAGCUUCCACAAUGUUCCUCAAAAAAGCUCCUUGAGAACUAGGCAGACACUGUGACAACAGUUUGCCAGAAAAUUCUGCUUUCAUGGAAUUGUUUUAAUUCCUGGCAUAUGCCUGUUGAUAACCCAAGUGAUGGCCACUGAGACUACUUUGUAUAGCUCCUAGUGUUUCCACCAGAAAGAAAACUCUCUUUUGGAGCACAUGGUAGAGCUGCCUGCCUAGAGACUACAGCGGCCUUUAAAUAGACCCAGGGACCCCAUGGGACCCUGAUCCAGUCUCGGCUUUCUUCCUGUGCGAGGCACACAGACUACUCCUGACCCCAGAGUUGCUCCCUGUUUUCAGCUAAUGAGCUGUGAAGGGAUGGAGGGCAACAAAAUGUCUUCAGUGGUAACCAGGUGCAGCUGGUAGAAAUGGAACUUAGCAUUAGUAAAUGAUAAAAUAGAAGAAAUAAAAUAAAGCUUUUGCUUUUAUUUCUGUUUCGGAGGAUGUGAUAUGAAUCUAUAAUUGUAACCGUGAUUUACAUUUUUUUAAUCACCCUUUGAUAACAAUAUAUUCACCCCUAUGAACUAAUAACACAUGGAAUUACUAAUUAUAAUUGCUAAUAUAUCUUUACUGUGAAUAUUAUAGAUUGAUGCAUGCUGGUACUUUUGAUUUUGAAGUCACUUGGUGCAGAAAAGGUGAAAUUGAAAGAGACUGCUAAUAAAUCAUCAAAUGGUGCUAAGGAACUUGAAUAGUCCCAUUUUUUAAACUGACACAUGUCAUUAUUUGUAGUUUAAAUUGUCUAUGAGUACUCAUUUGAAACACUUUCAUCCGCCCAUGUAAAGGAAAAAGAAAGGAGAAUCUCUUGUAGCAGGGAGUUUGCUGUUUUACUGAGUAAAUAUUCAGACAUUACUUUUUGUGGCAGUCACGUGGUCACAUGUAUCAAGUUCUGUCCUUGGGAGGUUUUGAUGCAUUUGUUUUCUUCUUUUUUGGUUCCACAAAAGCUACAAGUCAAACUUGAAAAUGUAUUGACAAACCAAAGGAGUUUGUUGAGACAUUGACAAUAGCUGCUCUCUUUCGUUUUGUCAAAAGUCUACCGUGAUAUUUCGGGAAAAAUACUUCAUUCCAUAACACAUGUAUAGAAAUCCUGUUGGGAUGCAGAAUAUAAUCAAGUUUUGUUCCAAGUUAAUAAGACUUUGCUGGAAGAGGGGUUGAAAUUGAGUGUCUGAGGGCAAAAGUGUUUUAAAGUGCUCUCUAUAGCAAUAAUUUAAGUACAAAAUACAGCCUUCAGGCACCCAUUUAUUUAGAAGUUGCUAAGUGCAGGCAAUCUGUGACGACCCUUACCCGCUUACGGCAAAGAGAAAAAAAGGUCAAUCGUUAAUCAUAUCUAUGUACUGCAUUUGUCAGAAAAGGAAUUAACUUCAUGCUUGUUCAGCUUUCUAGUCUAAAAGGCAAUACUAUGAGGAGUAAGGUUUUUUGAGAUAUUUGAUCUCUAGGAACUGACAAAGAGCAUCAGCCUGUAGCAUAUAAACCUCUACUCAGACUUAGCUCACCAGCUACAUGUGCUAGUUUUCAUCUGGUAACCGAGAAACUGCAGGGUAGUUUUCCAUUAGAAAAUAUAACUCUCUUGAAUGGCUGUGCAUUUUAGCAUGAAAUAUAGAAUUAUUUACAAAAAACUAAAAAGGAAUGAGUAAUGAGUUCCAAUUAAUCUCUGCUUUAGUGUUUAAUAUCUCUGUAUUUUGGCUUUUUUUUUAUACCUGCUGCAAAGGAAUAAGUGUGGCUUUUAUCCACACACAGAAUGGAGUGAACAGUGAAAAAAGUGUGAAACACUGCUCUUUGAUUAUGAGAAUAGAUCCAACAGCACUGGAAAAUUUCAUUUUUCCAUACGUGAUUCAAAUACUUGUGAGUCUUUCCAAACACACUUAUUACACAAGAGGACAUAUUAGAAUUUUACAUUUUUAACCACAGAGAACUGGUCAAAAUGCCUGCCUAAGUUUUGUAAGUAGAAGAUAAUGACUGUGCAAACCACUGUAGUGACCUAACUUUAAAAUCAGAGGGCUGGAUAUAUGAAUUCUGCAGUUAUAACAUCUUGCACUACAUGAAGUGUGCUGUGUUUGUACUUGAUAGUAUAAAUAAAUGCUCUUCACUUUUUAUUUUAGAUAAAAAGGUGAGGUAUAUUGGAAACAAGGAUAAGCUUAUGGUGGAAUGAAAGAAACCACAAAGAAUAUUUACUCCCUUGUUGAAACAAGAAGUUUGUCUCCCUGUCCAGGUCCUUAAAAGACAGUAAAAGGUGAUGGGUGAAGGUCUUGUAUAUUCAGCAAUUAUUUAAAUUUCAUUGUACUUAGAAACCUAAAUAUUAGAAUCUGCUGGCAAACUGGUGCUAUUAAAGAAAAUGGAAGGUUCACUUUGCAAAGAUUUUUAUAAGUUUAUGCAACUUGACAGAUUUUUACAGACACAAUUAAAACACAUAUGAAAGUAACUGAGGUUUAAGUAUGAUUAAAUAGAAUUUAAGCAUUUGACAAUGUACAUAUUGUUAUGAAUAUUGCUAGCUGUAAUGGAGACAAUAUUUCCUUUUAAACUGAAUGCAAGCUCAAAAAGGAAUAGGUUCUCAAAUAGGAAGAAGUUAAUAUUUUUAAAAAUCACAUUUGAAGUUUCAAAGAAUUAAUUUCAUUGGGUUUAUUUGUUGCUUUGAUACAGAGAUCUUCAUGAGGUUCAACAGAUUUACUAUGUUCUCUUACAAUCCUGAGAUUUUCAAGUACAUUAAUAUAUUUUACAGUAGAUUUUUUCCUAUAAGAAUAUUUGACAUAAAUGAAGUUAAUUUUUAAUCAGCUGACACAUCAUUUUCAGUCUUUUCUAAAAAUUGUAUGAUAGCAAGUCAGAGUGGGCAUAGAAAAUAGCACAAAAUUAAUUGUCUGGUUUGGCCAUUCCAUACCAAUAACCAAAAUAAGGGUUUCAGUUAAAUUUUUAUUCUCAUCACUGCUCAUAUACUUAGAAUAAAUUAUAUAAAAUAAAAUUUUCCUUGUGGAUGUUAAUUGUAAUAUUUCCUGAGUUUCCAUAGAUGACAGGCUGUGACAGGAGAUAUCCAGAACUGCUUUUUUGAAAUUGUUCUGAUUUGAGAUGGUUGCAAGGAAAAACAGAAAAUACAUGGGAAAAUAAGUGUUAUGACUUCUUACCAAAGAAUGAUACAUGCUAACCUUUUAUUUCUUUGAAAAUCAUCAUUAUAGAAAUGUAGAGAAAUUUAUGAAAGGAGGUGAAAAAUGUGGCAAGAAAUCAACAAAAAUAAACCAUUCUGUAAUCUUUAAAAAGAUUAGGAGAAAUUGGCAAACACUUAAGCACACAGCAGUGGGCCAUGUUGAGCACAAAACACUUUCCCAUAGUAUUCAACUUCUUCUUCUCCUUCAUCAGAAACUGGAAACAAUGUCAUGUGUUCAGUUUGAUUCACAGCUCUACAUUACUCUGUACAAAGCAUGAUGGGCUCAUUUUCCCUAACUUGGCUGGAAGAACCAAGAACCAGUCUGCCUAACACUCAUUAUGCAGUAUAAAAAAACAGUAAUUUGCACAAUGUACCACCAGUGUUAUCACACAACUUUGUGGAACUCACUGCAGCCAGGUAUUGUCAAAAGUAUGAUUUAGAAUGUUUCACAGCUCAUUGAAUUCUGGGCAAUAUCUUCCUUUAUGAUCCAUAAAAAUACAUACAGAGGAGCUCAACCUUUUUUUCUUCUAAUUUCAAAAUAUUCUGACAGAGUUCUGUAGGGAGGUUCCUCCCAAUCUACUGUUGUUGGGUAAAUUAUAGACAUUUCAAAGAAAAUAAUAAAUAUCUGCUUAAGACAGGUUUAUUUCAGAGGGAAAAAAAAGAGAUAAAUUUUAAUACAUGCAAAUAUUUCUAACAUAUACAAAUACACAUAUAAACAUCAGCACAAACAGAAAAGUAUUGAAAAAAAGAAAGAUACUGUGCUUUUCUUUAUAUCUUAGUAUGAUAAACUAUUGAUCACUUAAAUAUUUUUUUUUAUUUACUGGUUAAUGCUACAAAUUAAUUGCUUAGUGUAACAAUCUAAUUGAAUAAACUGUUAAGACAGGUGUUAAAUACCCUUUGGAACCACUGAGAUGCUUUUUUUCUAAAACUGCAAAGUUGUCUUUAUAAGUAAGCAUAAGAUUAGAAGAAAUAUGUCAGCCAUGGCAGUAAUUAAUAUUAAUUAUUUUAUCUAGCUAUACAGGCUAACAAUGUGGAUAGUGUGGAAAUAAUCUUUUGAAACUUGUGUUAGAUAGCUUUGUGCAUUUCCUUUAGUAUUUCUACGUUUAGCUCAAACAUUAUAUCCUAAGUUAUAUGUAGAGAUAUAUAACUGUAAGACUAUAGCACAGAUAGUAAGGUAAAUCUACAGUUUAAUGAAUCAGGCUUAACCAGGGCCAAGAAAUUAGUCAGAGCAGUGGCAGUAGUCAGUCCUGUGGCAUGGUGGCAGCCUGCCCCAGUAGUAUCUGAGCACACACAGCUGAGGCUAUCUCAGUAUUCCUGAGGCUUCCCUGCUUUAAAGGACACGUUGGCAAACUCAUCACUCGGUUAUCCUGUGGUUCCCAUGGCUCAUCCUCUUCUCAUAACUCUCAAUGCAUUGACUUGAAAAGAGCAGCAACAAAAAAGGUAUGAACAAAAGCAGAGACAAGGAACCUCUUGGUGGAAGAGAGUCCUACCAAGCCCUGCAGGCUCUUCUUCAUCCUAGAAAUAUGAGCUGUUGCUGUGCAGGAGCCCACCUUCAAAGGGCAGGGGAGAGAGCAUGCUUACCUGUCUUAAUGCAGGCUGGGAGAGAACUGGGAGGGGUCUCCCAUUACCUGAGUGAUUUGGCAGGUAUGACACUGGAUGAACCAGCAUUUCAUGUGGCAGUGAAAAGCCUGGUCCAGUUUAAUGUUUGGAAGCUGUGGGUCUCUAGCCUCUCUAUCUUUUGCCUGAGAUAUCACAGGAGCAGUGGUCACCCUGAGCCCACACAUACCCUGACACCACAUCUCAGCAAGACACAGCUGUGACAGUAUGUCUUAUCCCUAGCCCAACACGGUUCUCCAGGAAUGUGUGUGUUUUGGAAAUGUCUUUUAUGUUGUCUUGCUUACACCUUGAACAAUACAGUCUGAGAACUUGGCAGGCAGCUUCUACUCCUAGGGUCUGCAGCCUAAAAGAACAUUUUAGCACCUAUCUUGUAGACAGAAAAGCUGGUUUUGGAAGUAGCCCUUAGUGUAAGACUUACAAAGCUGUUCAGAGGAUUAACUCCUAUUGAGCAUCUCAGCUUUGAAGGAAAUUGCACUAGGGAGUACUCACUGAGGCAGAGCUUCAGCUACUGUAAAUAAAUACCAUUGAUUUGGGCUUUCACAGAGCUCCAUAACAGAAUAUAUUUAAAGGAGCAUGAUGAACAUAUUUAAAAGUAAAUUUGAAAAAUCAGAGUCCUUGUGCCCUGACAUCUCUAUAAAUACAAAAAUAAUAAUCAUCCUCUGAGGACCUCCUUAAAAAAAAAAAAAACCACACAAAAAAGCACACACACAAACAAACAAAACCAAAAAAACCCCACCCCUAGAAAUGAAACUGCUAGUGAGAUCAAUCCUCUGAACAAUCCUUUGAAUAUUAAAUCUUUCCUUUUUCUGAAGUAAGCUUCUUAUUUGGAACCCUCAGGAGUAAACUAGCAAAUGCUGGUAGCAGCUAUAUUUCAAGUGUUCUGCCCGCUGUGUUUCCUUGGUCCUCUCCUCCCAUCCCCUAGUCCUGCAAUAAGACCUGGAGAGGAGGCAGGUGGUUAAAUUGCGCAGUAUAGUUAGAACAAGUUCUUUCUGAGCAUGCCUAACAGAGAAGGUGGCUGGGAAUUUAGGUCAGCUGGGGGUCAUAAAGAGGGUUAAUUGCUGAACUAGCCUGCCAGAAGUAGGGGUGUGGAAGAGUCCAGCUGCUUGUGUUCCUUGGUGGGCCCAGCCCUUAGAAUAGCCUGUUUCCUCACUGAAACGUUGUUUUACCCCAAGACACACAGCCAAGGGAGAGGAGACUAGCAAAAGGAGCAGUAUCAUGAACAUAUUACAGUCAGAGAAGUUCUUUAAGGUAAUGUAUACGAAAUGAAUAAAGAAAACAACUUUCCCCUUCCUUCACAGACUGGGAGUUUUCGUCCUGUUGAUCUGAACUCUGGUGACUGCCUUUCCUACAUUCAGAAGUCUUUUUCAAAGAGAUGUGAGCUUACACCCUUUAAAGACUUAGUUGUACUAUUGAUCAUUGAAUAUUCCUUUGAACAUUGAAUUAAAACAUUUCCCUUUUUGACCCAAUGAAAAGGAUUCUUUUUAUUAUUAUGGAAAAGGUUUUACUUUUCUUUAAUCUCAUAUAUUCAUUUUCAAAUCACAUAGAUGGUAGUUAACCUAAAAUACCUUUCAAGGUAUUCAACACUCACUGUUUUAAUGACAAUAUAUUUUAUUACAUUUAUUUCUUUCCAGCACAGUUUCUAAGACCUUAAAAAAAUCCGCAGAACUGUUUUACAGUUUAGAUGGUUUGCUGAGCUGAUUGCUAUCCAUGAUUAUGUCAUGUUGCUUCACUGAUUCUUUUUUCCUCCCUCUUAACUAUUUGAGUGAGUGGUACAGCAUGAAAUAGCAUAGUAACUGUUCAACAUUAAAAUUUCCAAAUUACAGUCGAUGGAGUUUAUUCAAAAGAAAUUUUAAAAAUUCCAAAAGGAAAGGACAAAUCUGUAGGAAAUGUUGA